Molecule: non-coding RNA, 1771 nt
Organism: Aegilops tauschii subsp. strangulata
Lineage: Eukaryota; Viridiplantae; Streptophyta; Magnoliopsida; Poales; Poaceae
Source: RefSeq, a predicted model, not a curated record
CACCCCCGUGCAGAAUAUCCCCAAGGACCCCAACUCGAAGCCGAUUCCACAACCCUAACCAUUGGCUGCCGUCGCCGCCCUCGUGCUCGAUCCACAGUCCUGCCGCCGGCCUCACACUCCACCCCGUCGUCAAGCCGUCGUGUCGGAGCUCGCAUUCCCUCGCCCCCGAGCUCCACCCCGACAUCCACCCGUCCUUGCACUCCACCCCUUCCCCCCGAGCUCCAUCUCGAGACCGAGCCGCCGUCCUCGAGAUCCACAUACAACCGCCGUCCUCGGGCGCCCCCUCGACAUCCAGCCGUCGUCCUCGCCAAUCCCGCCCUGCUGCUGCCGGGGCCCCAUUUACGGGCUCCCGCCGUUGCCGCACCUGCUGUUGUCGGGCCUCCAUCUCUGGGCUCCCGCUGCUACCGGUCCUGCUGCAAUCGGACCUGCCGCUGCUGGGGAUCCAUCCCCUUCGAGCUGGGCCCCUCUCGAAGCCAGCCGUCGCCAUGCCCUGAGUGCCAUACAGGUGGAUAGUUCUUCAACAAAUGAUAUCUGAACUUCAAACUGGUAUCAUAAAAAAAAUUUGCUUCGGUGUUCUGAAGUUUCUCGAUGAAGUGUAAUAUAUUUGACCAUUAGCGGCACCCUUCACCAUUAGGCAUAGAUGUACCAAUGAUGUUAUUUCUUGAAGCCAAUUUGAAAUUUUGUAUCUCUUGUGAGUAACAAGUAAACUGCUCAGGUUGUUCUUAUUUGUAUAUCUUGGAAUUGUUUCCUCUUUGAUGUAUUGGAAGCGUUGUUAGUCCAAAAUUAAUCAGUGUAAUUCAGUUUGGUUCAGUUCAGGACAUAGUAAGUAUGCUUUAGAACAAUUAAUCAAAAUUAUCUGUUACAAAGAACAUGUCAGGCUUGUGUUUUCAAUCUCCCUGUACUUCUAUGGUUCCAAGUCUUCUCCUAUAGCUUUAUUGUCUUAACUGCUUGUAGAACUGUACUGCAAGUUAGUUUGUUAUUGAAGAAAAAAUCAUUUAUUAUGUUGUUGUCAGUUUGGACUUAAUUUUGCGAUUGCUGAAGGCAAGGAAAAGAGAUAGUGCAGAAGGAGCUUCAGCAGGCAUGAUGGUUCGACAACCACAAUGUCGCAAGGCCAUCCCCAUUGCCCGGCAACACUAUUUCAGAUAAAAUCAGAAUAUUAUUUUUGGAUAAGCUGGAAGGGAGGUCAUUAUCUACAACUGCUUACCAUCUGCUAUUUUAUCAAACUAAUAAACAAUGGUUCAAAUGACUAGUGUUGCUAGCCGGGAACCACGACCACCAGCAUGCAAUAUGAGCAAUGGGUAGAGAACGGAUGGCUACCUCGCUGGGAACCAUGGUCGCGCACGUGCAGCAGAAAACGAAUGGUGGAUGGAAAGGCUACGUCACCGGGAACCAGGACCGCGACUUGUAGUAGGCAACUACUAGGCACUUAGCCAACUGGUGCACAUGGACGUGAUGACUUUGCAGUGUUUAUGGAUCAACCAACCUGUAAUCAUGGAUCUUAUGUGUCUUCUAGACAAUUUGAUGUUUCAAGUAUUUUGGAGCUUGCACUCUGUGCAUGUGGAUGCAUACUUGUGUGUUCUGGACCAUCUAGCUGAAGUCUCUCGUACCAGCAAAUAGUGCUCAUCCUUUUGUGACUUGUGUGUUCUGGGUGAUUGUUAAGAUGGUCAAACUAUGCUUUGUCAAGAUUUGAUGUGUUUGUCAACUUGCGUUCAAUGUAUAUGCAUGUUUGUGAACAUAUUUUCAUUGUUAUACAGUAUGUGUUAAUCUUGAA